Molecule: ribosomal RNA, 537 nt
Filed under: uncultured bacterium
Lineage: Bacteria
Description: partial 16S ribosomal RNA
Rfam family: Bacterial small subunit ribosomal RNA
Source: RNAcentral
UGGGGAAUAUUGCACAAUGGGCGCAAGCCUGAUGCAGCCAUGCCGCGUGUGUGAAGAAGGCCUUCGGGUUGUAAAGCACUUUCAGCGAGGAGGAAGGUGGUGAGCUUAAUACGCUCAUCAAUUGACGUUACUCGCAGAAGAAGCACCGGCUAACUCCGUGCCAGCAGCCGCGGUAAUACGGAGGGUGCAAGCGUUAAUCGGAAUUACUGGGCGUAAAGCGCACGCAGGCGGUUUGUUAAGUCAGAUGUGAAAUCCCCGGGCUCAACCUGGGAACUGCAUUUGAAACUGGCAAGCUAGAGUCUCGUAGAGGGGGGUAGAAUUCCAGGUGUAGCGGUGAAAUGCGUAGAGAUCUGGAGGAAUACCGGUGGCGAAGGCGGCCCCCCUGGACGAAGACUGACGCUCAGGUGCGAAAGCGUGGGGCAGCAAACAGGAUUAGAUACCCUGGUAGUCCACGCUGUAAACGAUGUCGAUUUGGAGGUUGUGCCCUUGAGGCGUGGCUUCCGGAGCUAACGCGUUAAAGUCGACCGCCUGGGGGAG